RNAcentral lists this microRNA (23 nucleotides) under Equus caballus (horse). Lineage: Eukaryota; Metazoa; Chordata; Mammalia; Perissodactyla; Equidae. The record is from RNAcentral.
ACUCAGAAAGGUACUGAUCACUU